Molecule: long non-coding RNA, 258 nt
Organism: Manihot esculenta (cassava)
Lineage: Eukaryota; Viridiplantae; Streptophyta; Magnoliopsida; Malpighiales; Euphorbiaceae
Exons: 2
Source: RefSeq, a predicted model, not a curated record
CUCAAUCUUGUAAAAAGUUUCUAGAAUUUCUGUUUACUCUUUUUCUUUUUUAGAUUUGGUAAAUCUCUGAGGAAGGAUGGUGAAAUGACAAAUUCUUUUUCCUGAUUCUCCACAUGCUGCAUCAAUGAGCCUCCUUUCUGAGGAUAGAAGACCUUCAUAGAAGUAUUGGAUAAGAGAUUAGUUGGAGAUGUCACGUUGGGGGCAACUUGUGCAUAACUUUUUGAAUCCCAAUAUUUUUACAACUCCUCAUAUUCUUUU